GGUCGCGUAGCUCAGUUGGAUAGAGCAUCUGCCUUCUAAGCAGACGGUCGCAGGUUCGAAUCCUGCCGCGAUCA
Molecule: transfer RNA, 74 nt
Filed under: Salibacter halophilus
Lineage: Bacteria; Pseudomonadati; Bacteroidota; Flavobacteriia; Flavobacteriales; Salibacteraceae
Also listed under: 3 other names
Rfam family: tRNA
About the family: Transfer RNA (tRNA) molecules are approximately 80 nucleotides in length. Their secondary structure includes four short double-helical elements and three loops (D, anti-codon, and T loops).
Source: Rfam by way of RNAcentral